This 650-nucleotide ribosomal RNA is filed under the name uncultured bacterium. RNAcentral describes it as "bacterial SSU rRNA". It matches the Rfam family "Bacterial small subunit ribosomal RNA", at positions 74 to 718 of the family's 1533-position model. The record is from RNAcentral.
GAGAGCUUGCUCUCGGGUGACGAGUGGCGGACGGGUGAGUAAUGUCUGGGAAACUGCCUGAUGGAGGGGGAUAACUACUGGAAACGGUAGCUAAUACCGCAUAACGUCGCAAGACCAAAGAGGGGGACCUUCGGGCCUCUUGCCAUCAGAUGUGCCCAGAUGGGAUUAGCUAGUAGGUGGGGUAACGGCUCACCUAGGCGACGAUCCCUAGCUGGUCUGAGAGGAUGACCAGCCACACUGGAACUGAGACACGGUCCAGACUCCUACGGGAGGCAGCAGUGGGGAAUAUUGCACAAUGGGCGCAAGCCUGAUGCAGCCAUGCCGCGUGUGUGAAGAAGGCCUUCGGGUUGUAAAGCACUUUCAGCGGGGAGGAAGGGAGUAAGGUUAAUAACCUUAUUCAUUGACGUUACCCGCAGAAGAAGCACCGGCUAACUCCGUGCCAGCAGCCGCGGUAAUACGGAGGGUGCAAGCGUUAAUCGGAAUUACUGGGCGUAAAGCGCACGCAGGCGGUCUGUCAAGUCGGAUGUGAAAUCCCCGGGCUCAACCUGGGAACUGCAUCCGAAACUGGCAGGCUUGAGUCUCGUAGAGGGAGGUAGAAUUCCAGGUGUAGCGGUGAAAUGCGUAGAGAUCUGGAGGAAUACCGGUGGCGA